UGGGGAAUUUUGGACAAUGGGCGAAAGCCUGAUCCAGCCAUGCCGCGUGCAGGAUGAAGGCCUUCGGGUUGUAAACUGCUUUUGUACGGAACGAAACGGUCUUUUCUAAUACAGAAGGCUAAUGACGGUACCGUAAGAAUAAGCACCGGCUAACUACGUGCCAGCAGCCGCGGUAAUACGUAGGGUGCAAGCGUUAAUCGGAAUUACUGGGCGUAAAGCGUGCGCAGGCGGUUAUGUAAGACAGUUGUGAAAUCCCCGGGCUCAACCUGGGAACUGCAUCUGUGACUGCAUAGCUAGAGUACGGUAGAGGGGGAUGGAAUUCCGCGUGUAGCAGUGAAAUGCGUAGAUAUGCGGAGGAACACCGAUGGCGAAGGCAAUCCCCUGGACCUGUACUGACGCUCAUGCACGAAAGCGUGGGGAGCAAACAGGAUUAGAUACCCAAGUAGUCCCUGAGCGGGCUGGCAAGGCGCAU
RNAcentral lists this ribosomal RNA (472 nucleotides) under uncultured bacterium. Its description in RNAcentral is "bacterial SSU rRNA". It matches the Rfam family "Bacterial small subunit ribosomal RNA", at positions 355 to 825 of the family's 1533-position model. The record is from RNAcentral.